CCUAGCUAGGCCGGCCACCCCUAUCCCUAUAAAUAGAUUCCCAUUUUCACCAAAAGAUCAUUCCAAUUCUCUUACAAAAAAUCCCAAAUACUCUAAACACUAUUUCUCUCUAAAAUUCUAACUUUGGCAUCGGAGGUUCUUCGGCCAAAGCCCCCCCUAUUCAUCGUGGGCGCGUGAGGCUUUUGGCCUUAACCUAAGGUGCUAGUUGUUUUGUAGGUGCAAAAUCGUCCAAGAUCGAGGAGGAGAAAAUUUGCAUCCACACUCAUCAUACCUUAAAUAUAGCUACAAGGGGGCCUAAAUAUAUAUUUCUAGAAGCUAUUUCUAGAAGCAUUCCCUUCUAGAAGUCUUAAUUUCUGCCACAAAACACCUUGUUUCUAGAAACCUUACAAAAGUGGUGCCUAUUCCCUUCUAGAAGGCUUUUGCCUUGCCUUGAACUCAACUCCCUUUCCCUCCAAUUCUUGCCGCACCUCUACUCACCCAAUUCCCUAUGGAUUCUGAUUUAAUUAGCAUUUUUCCUUGUGGAUUUGGGUUAUGCAAAUCCUUUUCAGAAAUUAAUUGGGCCAAACCUUUUUCCUGGUGGAUUUAAACCUUUGUGCCGCACCCUAGGGCCCUAAUUCUCUAUUCAUGCUGAUUUCUGACUGAUGUGAAAAAUAAGUUAACACACAAAAUUAAACCCUCUUUUUAUCAAUUGUAGCAAAGUAUGUAAAUAGGGA
Molecule: long non-coding RNA, 713 nt
Filed under: Malus domestica (apple)
Lineage: Eukaryota; Viridiplantae; Streptophyta; Magnoliopsida; Rosales; Rosaceae
Description: long non-coding RNA (MDOM_LNC019920)
Source: RNAcentral